UGCAUAAUUCAGCAGAAACUAGAGGAGCAGGGCGUGUACUGAUUGGAAUUGACACGCUUAUUCUGUCUACCUAUCAGCUAACUCAUUAGCAGCCAAGCCCUUAGGCAGCUUAGUGUGAAAAUACAAUGUUAACUGUUUGUUUCUCUGUGAGGUUAGUGGGAACCGCUUGGAUAAGCCUAUUGGGAUUAAUCUAAAUGAUGUGAUGAUCUGGAGCAAAGAAAGGCCUGCUUUGUGGACUAUCUACAAGGAAUCACAGCAUACAUGCAUUGAAUGUACUCAAACUUCAGCUCCAUGCAUUUAUCACCAAAAUAUAGAACAAAGCAAAAAACUGUUUAAACACUAUACAUGGGUGCCAUGGCUCAUGCUUUAAUCCCAGAGCUUUGAGGGGCCAAGGCAGGAGGAUCACUUGAGGCCAGGAAUUGGAGACCAGCCUGGCCAACAUAGCAGGACCCUGUCUUUAAAAAUAAAAAUAAAAAUAAAUAAAUUAUCUAGAUGUGGUGGCACGUGCCUGUAAUCCCAGCUACCUGAGACUCUGUCUCAAAUAAAUCAAUAAAUAAAUACCACAGGGACAAUUCCACCUGUCAUCCCAUUGAAAGAAAAAGGAGCCGAAGAAUGGGGAUGUGAUUCAAAUGUGCCUUCAUCCCUUCCAUCACCUACAAAAAAAAAAAAAUAAAUGUUUGUUGAAUGAAUGAAUGGUAGCCAAGAUGUGGUAUUCAUUAUAUAUCACUGUGCAAAAAAUUAUUCCAAAAUUUAGAGGCUUAAAAUGAUAACAAACAGUUAAGAUCUCACAGAGUUUCUGUCAGGAAACUGGGAACAGCUUAGCUACAUAGUUCUAACUCAGGGUCUCUCAGGUUAUAUACAGUUAAGCUAUCAGCCAGAGCUGCAGUCACUUGAAGCCUUGAUUGGGGCUAGCGGAUUCACUUUUCAACGUGGCUCAUUCACAUAGCUGUUAGCCGCACGAAAUUCUCCACAGAACUGCCUGAGUGUAGUCACAACGUGGCAGCUGUGUUCCCUUUAGGGACUGAUACAAGAGUGAACAAGGUAGAAGCUGCAAUGUCUUUGAUGCCCUAGCCUCAGAGGCCACCCUUCCACAAUAUCCCAUUUCUUACAUAGGUUAGCCCUAUCCAAUGUGAGCAGGAACUACACAAGGUAUGAAUAUACCAGGAAGGGAAACUGUUGGGAGACAUCUUGGAGACCAGCUACACAGAUGGCUAAUUCUUGCAAAUUCUCAGAAUUAUUUGAGUGGUUGUAGAAUUCCUAGAAGGUAAAUGACAGUGGAGCCAGAGAAAUGCUGUUCAUGGCUAUUAUGUUUCCCUAGUAUUACAACCCCCACCCCCUACUACUGUUGCCUGGGAUUAGUGUUUUCUAUAGAAUGUCUUCACUUGU
Molecule: long non-coding RNA, 1386 nt
Filed under: Homo sapiens (human)
Lineage: Eukaryota; Metazoa; Chordata; Mammalia; Primates; Hominidae
Description: non-protein coding lnc-LGALSL-4:1
Source: RNAcentral